ACGGCUGCUCAGUGCCGCGUAGUCAACUUACCCUAUGGACGAGGAUAAUCUCGGGAAACUAAGCAUAAUACUCGAUAGAUCAUAAUGCCUGGAAUGGUUUAUGGUUGAAAUGAUUCAUCGCCAUAGGAUGGGACUGCGGCCUAUCAGCUUGUUGGUGAGGUAAUGGCCCACCAAGGCGAUUACAGGUACGGGCUCUGAGAGGAGAAGCCCGGAGAUGGGUACUGAGACAAGGACCCAGGCCCUAUGGGGCGCGGCAGGCGAGAAAACUUUGCAAUGUGCGAAAGCACGACAAGGUUAAUCCGAGUGAUUUCUGCUAAAGAAAUCUUUUGCAAGUCAUAAAACCACUAGUGAAUAAGGGGUGGGCAAGUUCUGGUGUCAGCCGCCGCGGUAAAACCAGCACCUCAAGUGGUCAGGAGGAUUAUUGGGCCUAAAGCAUCCGUAGCCGGCUCUGUAAGUUUUUGGUUAAAUCCAUGUGCUCAACGCAUGGGCUGCCGAAAAUACUGCAUAGCUAGGGAGUGGGAGAGGUAGACGGUACUCGGUAGGAAGGGGUAAAAUCCUUUGAUCUAUCGAUGACCACCUGUGGCGAAGGCGGUCUACCAGAACACGUUCGACGGUGAGGGAUGAAAGCUGGGGGAGCAAACCGGAUUAGAUACCCGGGUAGUCCCAGCUGUAAACGAUGCAGACUCGAUGAUGCAUUGGCAUAUAGCCAGUGCAGUGUCGCAGGGAAGCCGUUAAGUCUGCCGCCUGGGAAGUACGUACGCAAGUAUGAAACUUAAAGGAAUUGGCGGGGGAGCAG
RNAcentral lists this ribosomal RNA (796 nucleotides) under uncultured marine thaumarchaeote. Its description in RNAcentral is "bacterial SSU rRNA". It matches the Rfam family "Archaeal small subunit ribosomal RNA", at positions 82 to 879 of the family's 1478-position model. Lineage: Archaea; Thermoproteati; Nitrososphaerota. The record is from RNAcentral.